GUGACUGAGGAAAAUCUCACGGAAGCAUGAAAAGGUGGCAUGCUUCUGCAUCAACUCCCAUCCUCAUGAAUUUCUUCCAUGAUGUGCAGCACCCUGGCACUUCCACUUCCAGACUCUCCUUAGCUAAAGAGACACCACACGAGACAGAGAAGAUGCCAAAGCUUGAAUCAAGCAACUACUAGCCUCGCCUAGCACGUGUUGCAGGACACACACCUCAAAUCCAACCCCAGGAAAAUGCUCUGAGACUACGGCUCCAUUUCUUCCACAAAGGCAGCUUCUGGGCAUGUUUAAAGGGUCCCCCACUCCACUAAAGUGCAAUGUACCAGGAACAAGCACUUCCUCAGUGGUGCAGAAAUUGGGCUUAAGUU
Bubalus bubalis (water buffalo) is the source of this 368-nucleotide long non-coding RNA. RefSeq lists it as uncharacterized. NCBI's taxonomy places the organism in Eukaryota, Metazoa, Chordata, Mammalia, Artiodactyla, Bovidae. The record is from RefSeq and is a predicted model, not a curated record. The transcript has 2 exons.